AAACUUUCAACAAUGGAUCUCUUGGUUCCGGCAUCGAUGAAGAACGCAGCGAAAUGCGAUAAUUAAUGUGAAUUGCAGAAUUCAGUGAAUCAUCGAGUCUUUGAACGCACAUUGCACCCCCUGGUAUUCCGGGGGGUAUGCCUGUCCGAGCGUCAUUU
Molecule: ribosomal RNA, 158 nt
Filed under: Aspergillus elegans
Lineage: Eukaryota; Fungi; Ascomycota; Eurotiomycetes; Eurotiales; Aspergillaceae
Description: 5.8S ribosomal RNA
Rfam family: 5.8S ribosomal RNA
About the family: 5.8S ribosomal RNA (5.8S rRNA) is a component of the large subunit of the eukaryotic ribosome. It is transcribed by RNA polymerase I as part of the 45S precursor that also contains 18S and 28S rRNA. Functionally, it is thought that 5.8S rRNA may be involved in ribosome translocation.
Source: RNAcentral